UUUAAAAAUGAAUUCAAAGAAAGCUAUAUUUGGAUAAAUCUCUCCCUUUUGUGUAUCCUAUGCCUUCUAGAUUUGAGUGUCUUCUAGAUCUAGAUUUGAAUAGGAUGCUCAAAGCUGAUCGUAACAACAAAAAUAUUUCGACCAGAUGAAUAAUGUAUUAAAAUCCAAAUUGAUGCAAAAUAAUUUAAAAAAAAGGAAAAUAAUAUAUUACUCGUUAAAUUACUAGAAUUAGUUUUCUUUCAUAAGUAAAAUGCUAUGUGAAACGAAAAACAGAAUAAAAAGAAUUAAACAACUCAAAUAUUGCUUCUAUGAAGUGAAUAUCCGAAAUUGUCAUUUUAAUGCACAGAUGUUGAAAAAUAUUUUAAUACUUUCUUACAAACUAUGAAAUACCCACUGAACUAUGUGACAGAUUUAAAAAUCUUUUGCAAGUCAUUGAUGUGGCGAACAAUCCAAACAGCUGUCGAAUGGUAUGGUAUUUAAUAAAAUACGAAAUUUUACGACGUGAGUGAUCCUUAGAAGACAUAUCUUAAGCAGAUGUUUUAUGCAAAAAAAGUGAAGCAGCAUUGUCAACUGUCAAAUAUUUAUAAUGGGUAUAUAUCGCCUGAAAAUCUUGUGUAAGAUAACAAUCCAAACAACUGCAGAAUGUUAUGAUAUUUAAUAAAAUAAAAAAUUUUACGUCGUGAUCAUGAACAUUCCUUAGAAGAGAUAUUUUAAACAGAUGUUUUAUGCAAAUAACUGACAAAGCGAUGUCAACUUUCACCCAUUGAAAAUUUGCUAUCUUCUAAAAUCUGCCAUUUUGUCCGCCUUCAAAUUGUCGUCUUUUGUUAAAGGAAAUAUAUAUAUAUCAACAAAUUUAACAGUCAUCACCAGCCUUUUCCGAAAGGCCAUUUUAAUCUUCGGUAGGAAGAAAAUCAAACUAGGUCAUCUCAGACAAUCUUAGGACAGCAAAAGAAGAUGGAAUAGGACAGCAAAAGAAGAUGGAUUAGGACAACGAAGGAGAAGUAAUUUGUUCAAUCAAUAUGAGACAACAAGAAGAGCGAUUUUCGGGCAAUUGUGAAACAAGCCAGAGAAAACACCACAUGCAGUUUUAUUAAGAUAACUGAGUAAAAGAUUAUGUCAACAUGGGACAAAAGAUUACUUAAGUAAAUUAUUAUGAGACCAUAAAAAAACUUAUUGGGCAAUUAUUAUGAAACAACAGAGGGAUAAUCAUAUUAGACAAUCAUCACAGGACAAUAUAAAAAUAAAUAGGCCAAUUUUUUUAAGUAUGCUUCAUGACGAAAAGCUAUUAGAUUAGGUAUCUAUCUAGUAUGUAAUUAAAUUGUAAAACUGUAUUUCACUGUAUUGUUCUUUGCUUUAAAACCGAAUGUCAUAUAUAAUUAUUAAAGUUCUGUUGAACACA
Parasteatoda tepidariorum (common house spider) is the source of this 1399-nucleotide non-coding RNA. The record is from RefSeq and is a predicted model, not a curated record. Lineage: Eukaryota; Metazoa; Arthropoda; Arachnida; Araneae; Theridiidae.